This 379-nucleotide ribosomal RNA is filed under the name Acris blanchardi (Blanchard's cricket frog). Its description in RNAcentral is "partial 12S ribosomal RNA". It matches the Rfam family "Bacterial small subunit ribosomal RNA", at positions 795 to 1386 of the family's 1533-position model. The record is from RNAcentral. Lineage: Eukaryota; Metazoa; Chordata; Amphibia; Anura; Hylidae.
CCCAGCCGUAAACUUUAAUUUACAUCCUCAUCGCCCGGGGACUACGAGCUAAGCUUAAAACCCAAAGGACUUGACGGUACCCCACAUCCACCUAGAGGAGCCUGUCCUAUAAUCGAUAACCCCCGCUUAACCUCACCAUUUUUAGCCUCUCAGCCUGUAUACCUCCGUCGUCAGCUUACCUCGUGAGUGACCUAUAGUGAGCUUAAUGUCCACACGUCAAAACGUCAGGUCAAGGUGCAGUAAAUAAAAUGGGAAGAGAUGGGCUACACUCUCUAAAUUAGAAAAUACGAAAGACUAUAUAUGAAAUCUAGUUAGAAGGCGGAUUUAGUAGUAAAAAGAGACCAUAGUGCUCCUUUUAACACGGCACUGGGGUGUGUAC